CCUACGGGGGGCUGCAGUCGAGGAUCUUCGGCAAUGGGCGCAAGCCUGACCGAGCGACGCCGCGUGUGCGACGAAGGCCUUCGGGUUGUAAAGCACUGUCGGGGGGGAGAAAGGCCCACAAGGCUUGAUCGACCCCCGGAGGAAGCACGGGCUAAGUUCGUGCCAGCAGCCGCGGUAAGACGAACCGUGCGAACGUUAUUCGGAAUCACUGGGCUUAAAGGGCGCGUAGGCGGGUCCGCGAGUCAGGGGUGAAAUCCCCCAGCUCAACUGGGGAAGGGCCUCUGAGACCGCGGAUCUCGAGGGGGGUAGGGGCAGCUGGAACUUCCGGUGGAGCGGUGAAAUGCGUAGAGAUCGGAAGGAACGCCGGUGGCGAAAGCGAGCUGCUGGACCCCAACUGACGCUGAGGCGCGAAAGCCAGGGGAGCGAACGGGAUUAGAUAC
RNAcentral lists this ribosomal RNA (440 nucleotides) under uncultured bacterium. RNAcentral's name for it is "partial 16S ribosomal RNA". It matches the Rfam family "Bacterial small subunit ribosomal RNA", at positions 338 to 785 of the family's 1533-position model. The record is from RNAcentral.